Molecule: transfer RNA, 75 nt
Filed under: Streptomyces phage Satis
Lineage: Duplodnaviria; Heunggongvirae; Uroviricota; Caudoviricetes
Also listed under: 4 other names
Description: tRNA-Asn
Rfam family: tRNA
About the family: Transfer RNA (tRNA) molecules are approximately 80 nucleotides in length. Their secondary structure includes four short double-helical elements and three loops (D, anti-codon, and T loops). Further hydrogen bonds mediate the characteristic L-shaped molecular structure. tRNAs have two regions of fundamental functional importance: the anti-codon, which is responsible for specific mRNA codon recognition, and the 3' end, to which the tRNAs corresponding amino acid is attached (by aminoacyl-tRNA synthetases). tRNAs cope with the degeneracy of the genetic code in two manners: having more than one tRNA (with a specific anti-codon) for a particular amino acid; and 'wobble' base-pairing, i.e. permitting non-standard base-pairing at the 3rd anti-codon position.
Source: RNAcentral
UCCCCAGUAGCUCAGUUGGCAGCAGCGUCGGAUUGUUAAUCCGAAGGUCACUGGUUCGAGCCCAGUCUGGGGAGC